RNAcentral lists this ribosomal RNA (481 nucleotides) under uncultured bacterium. Its description in RNAcentral is "SSU rRNA". It matches the Rfam family "Bacterial small subunit ribosomal RNA", at positions 26 to 523 of the family's 1533-position model. The record is from RNAcentral.
AGAAUCAACGCUGGCGGCGUGCCUAACACAUGCAAGUCGAACGAGAAAGUGGAGCAAUCCAUGAGUACAGUGGCGACCGGGUGAGUAACACGUGACCAAUCUACCUUCGAGUGGGGGAUAACUCCGGGAAACCGGGGCUAAUACCGCAUAACAUCUUUGGAAUGCAAAUUCCGUUGAUCAAAGGAGCAAUUCGCUUGAAGAGGAGGUCGCGGCUGAUUAGUUAGUUGGCGGGGUAAUGGCCCACCAAGACGAAGAUCGGUAUCCGGCCUGAGAGGGCGCACGGACACACUGGAACUGAAACACGGUCCAGACUCCUACGGGAGGCAGCAGUGGGGAAUUUUGCGCAAUGGGGGAAACCCUGACGCAGCAACGCCGCGUGGAGGAUGAAGUCCCUUGGGACGUAAACUCCUUUCGACCAAGACGAUAAUGACGGUACUGGUGGAAGAAGCACCGGCUAACUCUGCGCCAGCAGCCGCGGUAA